Alligator mississippiensis (American alligator) is the source of this 3730-nucleotide long non-coding RNA. RefSeq lists it as uncharacterized. The record is from RefSeq and is a predicted model, not a curated record. Lineage: Eukaryota; Metazoa; Chordata; Crocodylia; Alligatoridae. The transcript is spliced from 3 exons.
GGUUCAAGAAACCUUGCCCAGCAACAUAAACUGUAUAAAAGGAAGCAAGAGAAAGGAUGACAUAGGGAAGAACCUGCCUUGCCACUGAAGCCUAUGCCUGUGCAUGCCAGGUUGGAUACCCCGCUCCCUCAAUGGAUAGGGACUGGCCAUGCCUAUCUGCAACACCCUUGAAAUUAUACUAAAAAAAAAAAUCCUUCAGUCUCUUGCUUCUUUUUUUUCCAAUGGAUCCCAGAGCACAACUUGGCCCUAAUCGAAUCUCAACAAGACCAAGAAAACAAAACCAGGCCUGAACUUGAAAUUGCAUCCUGACAGAAGACUGAGUUGAUGAUGGCCAUGCUGAAUAACUUGCCACCCCAGUAACACCAACCAGCUCUGGUAUCAAAUGUUGAUUCAGAGUCAAGGUUUCUUUCACUACCUUCAAAAUCUAUGUUAGGUUUGACCGAAGUUACCUAUGGGACUGCCUCAUCUUGUUUUAGAUAAAACAAAUAGUCAACCUCAACAGAAAGACUCACUGGUGGGAAAGACUAAUCCAUGGACUUGGAACUCACAUCCUAAAGAAACUAGGAUAUUCAUUAAACCUUACUUACUCCCAAGCAGAACAUACAUGGCAUGACUUUCAUUUGAUCUAAUAGGAACAGCAGCAAGCAAAUACCACACAUGAGCUUCAGGACAAGCAGACUAGAGGAGCAACAGAGAGCAAGACAGAGAUUUAAUUUGAUAUGCCAUUUAGAUGUCACACUAACAAGUGCUCUACAGCAAGAUUAGAUGGACAGAUAGACACAGAGAUCAGCCUGAAUAACUCUAUUUCAUUUCAGAAUAAUACUAUUAGCCAGUGGCAGAAGCACACAAAUAUAAGUUUAAAUAUGAUUACACAGUAUGAGGGAAAGAGAAUGAAAUGGUCAUUCACAAGAUACAAGACAUAGAAGUGUUUAGGUCAAUAUAAAAUGUGCUCUUUAAGAAAUCUGUUUUUGCACAAAUAUGAGAAUCAACACAAUAUGAAAACUUAAAAAAUUAAAUCUCAUUCUUUGCCUUAGAAAGGUUGUUGAUACAGGUUCAGUGGUGUGGAAAAGUGGUUAAUAAAUACAUGAUUUUGAUACAUAUUAGCCUGUCAAAAUAGCAAAAUAGCUAUAUGCAUAGAGUAUCUGAGACUAUUUAAAGGCUGAAACUGAGAGGCACUGAGUAAUUUUAUGAGAUAAAUGGUACGUAAUGUGUGACAGGAAUCUCAUUCCAUUUGGAAACAUGAAGAAAAAUCUGCAUGAAUAUCACUUUUCUAAUCAUGCAAAAUUGCCAGGUUGAUUUUUGAGUCAUUAUCCCUGUAAUCAGAUAAAAAGUUUUCAAAUACAAAUUGUUCCCGUUUACAGCCUCUUGAUCAUAGAAUGUCUAGACUAUUAUAACAAUACAUUAUGUUUAGACUAAAUACUUACACCAUCUGCACUGUAAGUGAGGGAAAAAAGAGUUUAGAAUACUGCUUCUCACAAAAUCGAGUGACAGUAUUCCACCGAGGCAGAACUUGGCUACAAACACAGGAUAGCAUCCUUUAGAAGUUAUUUUACUUACUCAUUAAUAUUGGCGGUGUAGUAGUUCCACACCACCCAGUUAACCAUUUUUUGCUUUUAUACAGGCAAAGCUCACUCUUUGACACAAAGAUUCAGCCACUCAGUACAGUGUGAAAGGCUGUUUCAACCCAUCAUUUCUGUUUCUGAAAUGUUUUUAAAUGAUGCCACAUGCCAGUGGCUUCUGAUUAAAGCUUGGGAGAACUGGCUACCAUUCUUCCUCUGUCCUCAAUUAAUUGAUUGUUGUUGAAAAAGGGAACAAGAAGUAUUUUUCUUUGAAAGAUCCAAUUUGUUCAGGUUUAGUGAUACAAGUGCUAUAUUUGAUUCUUUCAUGCCACCAGAGCAAAAAUAUUCAUAUACUUCAUGCUUUCUUUAUAUUCUUAUUUUGAAUCUAAUACACACAGAACAUAUUCUUACAAAUAAGUCUCAGUGGUAUAGAGACUGCAGGGCCCAGUAGAACUAUAAGCUACCUGUUAUACAUAAAGUGCCAAUUGUAUAAAUAUUAAACUAGAUGAAGGAUGCAUCUCUCUAAGACCCUUUUAAGAUUUCUUCCUUGUCUGCCAGAUAUCAGUCUGCCAAAUAAUGGUUCAAGUUCAGCAACUGUUCAGAUUCAGACAUCAGAGUAAUGGUAUCCACCACUGUUCCUGAGAAUUUGAUGCAGAGUCUAGCAUCAGCCAGCUCAUCACCAAAAUGGGUAGCAGUGACCAGGAAGAAAGAGAAAUCCAUCCUUCAGCCUGUCUGCACUAGCAGGGCUCUUAUAAAUGGACAAAGUUGCUCUGUAUUGCAGAUACUGAUGCUAUACAAAUAUCACUACCUUUUGAUGUGAACAUCCUACCUACUUCAGUAAGGCACUUGCCUUCCCACAAGUACUAAUAAGAAGGAAAUCAAACCCUUUACCCAUCACAACCAUUAGUUACAGGUGGAUGGAGUUUAGUAAUAAGCCUCACAACACUGAAUAUAAGUAGAAAGAUAUGUAAUAAUUCCAGUGGCCAGAUCUGAACCUGUUCUCAGUUUAUUUCUGAAUUGGACCCCAAACUGGAAGCAGCUAGACGUGUUGUUCUGCUUCAGGUGUGGCCAAAAACUUAAAAGAUAGUUUAUUUCUUCCAUUUGAGGAUGAAAUAUCAAGCAGCACCCAAUAUGCAAAUAUUCUCCCACUUCUGAAUUUGGGCCUAAACUCUAGCCCUAAUUCAGCCUUUGAACCCAAACCCUUCAGUCAAUCUCAGUAUUAAACCCAUCUGGGAUUGUAAGAAAGACAAAGGGUUAGAUAUUCUGUUUAUUUUUAUCUUGUUUAAAAGGACUAUAAUUCAUAAAGAAAUAGGUAAUAAAUCAAUAUUCUGUCAAUUACUAAAUAUGCAGCAAAUAUACACCAAGUCACCUCUGUUCAGAAUUAUCUAAUCAUCAUGUCUAUGUUAAGAUUAAAAUAUGAAAUACUAAUUAAGAUCUGUCAGGAAUAAAAACUAUAUGAAGAACUAUAAAAAUUGCAAUGUGUGAAAAUCUCUAGCCACAUACUUGCAAACUAUAAAUACGUUACUGAAAACUGCAGCAUUUGCCUUGCCAUAACAUCUUUCAUGUUCAAAGCUGUGAUUUCCUCAGCAUGUUCAGCAGCAAAUUGCCCUGUUUUGAAACUUAAUAAGUCAGUAUCACUUUGCUAUCUAUGGGUAUUAUGGAAAGGACCUAGAGAAUACUAACAGUAAGUGAACUUGGAGACAUCUGUCUGAGUACUAGUAAUUUCCACUAUUAUAUCAGCCAUUUCCAGAAAGAAGCUUUAGUUCCAAGAUCUGAAUAAUAUGGACUGCAUUUUACUGAGAACCUACAAAUAUCAAAGAGUAAAAUGUAUCUAAUUAAAUAGAUGAUUAGCAAUGCCCCCAUUUACUGGAACAAAAAGUAAAGGGAUUUAUUCUGUGAACUUUGUAACUGUAGUCUGAAGCUGAAUUCAUCAAGAACAUCUCAACCUUCCUCACUUUAAAAACAGGACACAUUCUGAAUCAUGCAUCUAAGGUUGUAAAAGAUUAAAGAUAAGCUUUUUUAUCCAGGUUUUCAGGAAGUUACAAAAAGUAUUGUUGUGCCUGUAUCUGAGUACCCACUAAGAGUGGUGCUUUUAUUGUUUGUUUUAAAAUGUAAAAACUUUCCUGUUUGUAAAUCAAUCAUCUAAAUAAAGGGUUUGAGUGUUUCAGAGA